UGAAUACGAGAUGCUACGGCGUCGAAGCAGUCUAUGUCAUACUUCCAAGAAAAGCUUGCACUGUCAUAAACAAAUAAUGCCUGUACCAUAACCGACACAGGUGGGUAGGUAGAGUAUACUAAGGGGCGCGAGAUAACUCUCUCUAAGGAACUCGGCAAAAUGACUCCGUAACUUCGGGAGAAGGAGUGCCUUAUUUAUAAGGUUGCAAUAACAAGAUCCAAGCAACUGUUUACCAAAAACACAGGUCUCCGCUAAGUCGUAAGACGAUGUAUGGGGGCUGACGCCUGCCCAGUGCCAGAAGGUUAAAGAAGUUGGUUAGCAUCCGCGAAGCUGAUAACUGAAGCCCUGGUGAACGGCCGCCGUAACAAUAACGGUCCUAAGGUAGCGAAAUUCCUUGUCGGGUACGUUCCGACCCGCACGAAAGGCGUAAUGAUCUGGGCACUGUCUCGGAGAGAGGCUCGGCGAAAUAGGAUUGUCUGUGAAGAUACGGACUACCUGCACCAGGACAGAAAGACCCUAUGAAGCUUUACUGUAACCUGAAAUUGAAAUUGGACUUUACUUGCGCAGUAUAGGUGGGAGGCGUUGAGAAUAUUCUUGCGGGAUUAUUGGAGCCAUCAGUGAGAUACCACUCUUGUAAUGUUAGAUUUCUAACUUUGUAUCAUUAUCUGGUCAAAGAACAGUUUCAGGCGGGCAGUUUGACUGGGGCGGUCGCCUCCUAAACGGUAACGGAGGCGCACAAAGGUUUCCUCUGAACGGGUAGAAAUCGUAUCUAGAGUGUAAAGGCAUAAGGAAGCUUGACUGUGAGACCUACAAGUCGAGCAGGGACGAAAGUCGGUCUUAGUGAUCUGACGGUGCUGAGUGGAAAGGCCGUCACUCAACGGAUAAAAGUUACUCUAGGAUAACAGGCUGAUCUCCCCCAAGAGUUCACAUCGACGGGGAGGUUUGGCACCUCGAUGUCGGCUCAUCGCAUCCUGGGGCGGUAGUACGUCCCAAGGGUUGGGCUGUUCGCCCAUGAAAGCGGUACGCGAGCUGGGUUCAGAACGUCGUGAGACAGUUCGGUCCAUAUCCGGUGUAGGCGUUAGAAUAUUGAGAGGAGCCUUCUUUAGUACGAGAGGACCGAGAAGGACAUACCUCUGGUGUACCAGUUAUCGUGCCAACGGUAAACGCUGGGUAGCUAUGUGUGGAGUGGAUAACCGCUGAAAGCAUCUAAGUGGGAAGCCCACCUCAAGAUAAGUAUUCUC
RNAcentral lists this ribosomal RNA (1241 nucleotides) under metagenome. Its description in RNAcentral is "bacterial LSU rRNA". It matches the Rfam family "Bacterial large subunit ribosomal RNA", at positions 1564 to 2815 of the family's 2925-position model. The record is from RNAcentral.